This 36-nucleotide ribosomal RNA is filed under the name Prunus bokhariensis. Its description in RNAcentral is "partial 26S ribosomal RNA". The record is from RNAcentral. Lineage: Eukaryota; Viridiplantae; Streptophyta; Magnoliopsida; Rosales; Rosaceae.
GCGACCCCAGGUCAGGCGGGGUUACCCGCUGAGUUU